This is a long non-coding RNA of Echinops telfairi (small Madagascar hedgehog), 1064 nucleotides long. RefSeq lists it as uncharacterized. Lineage: Eukaryota; Metazoa; Chordata; Mammalia; Afrosoricida; Tenrecidae. The transcript is spliced from 3 exons. The record is from RefSeq and is a predicted model, not a curated record.
UGUGGGCGGGAUGUGGUUGGCCAGUGUCCGCGGCUCAGUCUUGGAAGGCCGAGGAGAGACAACCUGGGCCCGCCCAAUCUGAUGAGAGCUUGUAGUCUGUGAAUCUUUCUAGGAUCCGACUGCCUGCAUCUUUCUCCUGCGGAGUGGCUGCUGGGUUCAAAUGCCUCACCCACUGCGCCACCAGGGCUCCUCAAGUUCACAGACUUGGAAGCUCCGCAGAGCACUUCUCUGCCCUGUAAGGGUCCCUGGGUGUCGGAAUCGAGUCCAAGGGUUUGGGAGUCCAACCUCUCAUCGUUCAUCCUACGUGUAUGGAAGGAACACCUACUACACGUCCCCCACCCCCAACCUGGUCAGGCCCACUCAUGGCUCGCUUUCGGGCCCAAUUCUUGGCGUCGGGACAGGAUGGGAGCAGCGGUGUCAGAGUGUGUGGGCCCACGCUGGGAUUCUGACUGGUUCUGGGCCUGGAGGCAUUGAAGGAGAUGGAGUGGACCAAGAAGGCAGCUUCUCCCAGCGUCAGGAGAACCAAGUUCCUUUUGGAAGGAUGCUGCAACGCUUCCACAAAUGUCCACAGAAAAGAUUCCAUCCGCCUUCCCCUUCCCCUAGAGGGACCUAACAGAAUAGCUGCAAGUGGGAGACCCUCCCCAGACUCCACCACCGGCUGACCCUGACCUAGUCUGACGCCGGAAGCAACCUUCACUCUUCUUGCCCGCCGCCCGCGGAGCCCGAGGAACACAGCCUCAGGGCUGGCGCCUAUCCGCGGCGCCGCCUGUUCCGUCUGCGCGGCGCGAAUGUCCAGGUCUGGCUCCGAGCAGCGACCGGUGCCUGCGCCAGCCUGAUCAGCACCCCAAGGAGGAACAGCUCCUGCCGCUCAGAUCAGCACCGGACGACGGACAGCUCCCCACUCGGCGCGCGAGUCGCCCCACACCAGGGCCUCCAGCAAGUCCUCCGGUCGCCUGGGGAUCAGCGCUGCCUCGGGGGCCGCACCCUCGCCCUCACCGGGCCCCCUUUCAAAGAAAGCCUGCGGACCCAGGCCCCUACCUCGCUCCUGUUUUCCACCGCAGGGA